This is a non-coding RNA of Acanthosepion pharaonis, 113 nucleotides long. Lineage: Eukaryota; Metazoa; Mollusca; Cephalopoda; Sepiida; Sepiidae. The record is from the annotation of a GenBank genome assembly.
UACAGUCAUAUCAUGUUGAAAAACCAGUUCCCUUACAAUCACUGAAUUUAAGCAAUGUUGAUCCUGGUCAGUACCUAGAUGGGUGACUGCUUGAGAAUACCAGGUGCUGUAAG